This 2935-nucleotide long non-coding RNA is filed under the name Pan troglodytes (chimpanzee). RNAcentral describes it as "long non-coding RNA NONPTRT008010". The record is from RNAcentral. Lineage: Eukaryota; Metazoa; Chordata; Mammalia; Primates; Hominidae.
CGACGGGCUGGCUGGUUGCUGCCUCCGGGCGACCAGGGGCCUGGGGACUUCGUGCCUGGGCCAGGGUCUCUUUCCUUUCGCGGGCACAGUGAGGAGACUGCGAGGUGAGUGAGAAAAAUCCAACUGCAGACUUGACUGCCUUCGGUGAAGGCACACGGCAAGUUCUUCUGACAAAAAACACCCUUUGGGAUUGACUCUUCACGUUUUACACAGCAAUUGUCUCAGCUUGGGACCAAAGUAUUUACAAAGCAAGCGAACAAGAGACGAAGCAAGAGGGACACUUCUGAGGCCGGUGGUGCGGAAACUCACCGCCAAACAGGGUGGGGGGCCAGUCACCUCUUCAGGAGUGUCCCAUGUGUCAGCUGACAUAACAUCUUCAAUACAGAAUUCCAAUUGAAAGAAAAACAACAACAACAAAAAACACCAGUCAAGCAUAAGCGACGUUACUUCCUCUCUGAACAGGGAAACAUCUCGCUCGCUGGGAGAUAAAAGGUAAAUCUCUCAUUUGCUGCUCUCUUCCCCUAAGUGCCAGCAAGAAGCUGGGUGUGGUGAUGAAGAAAGAAGGCAGCCAUCACCUAAGACCCCACAAGCCAAGCCGUGGUCCCCUCCAUGAGGGCACGGUCCUUUCAUGAAGCCGUAAAAGAGACCACAGCUCGGACCUGAGCACUCAGGGUUACCUACUGGGGUCUUGUCAUAUUCCUUAUGUUGAUUUCUGCCAAGACCCAAACUGAUUCCUUUUUUUUUUUUUUUUUUUUUGAGACAGAGUCUCACUCUGUCACCAAGGCUGGAGUGCAGUGGUGUGAUCUCAGCUCGCUGAAACCUCCACCUCCUGGGCUCAAGUGAUUCUCCUGCCUCAGCCUCCCAAGUAGCUGGGAUUACAGGCAGGUGCCACCAUGCCUGGCUAAUUUUUGUAUUUUUAGUAGAGAUGGGGUUUCACCAUGUUGGCUAGGGUGGUCUCAAACUCUAGUGAUCCGCCCACCUCAGCCUCCCAAAGUGCUGAGAUUACAGGCGUGAGCCACCACGCCUGGCCCCAAACUGACUCUUGACCAAAGAAUCUGAUUUGGCAAACCAAAUCUUAGUGCAGUGUUCGCUCCUCGUCCCCUUACCCAGAACAUGAUUCAGAUCCUAACAUAAACACAAAAACAGGUCAGGGAACCAAAACACUGUGGUCUUGUCUAUUAUACAAAAUAUUGAGAUAAUGUUCACGAUUCAUUCUGUUUUCAGCAAUUGUGACAAUUUUGAAGCUUCUCUCGAAGCUUCGAAACACUUCAUUUCCUACUAAAUACCAAAAUGUGUCAGACAGGCAUCACCAGUGGGAACUUGGUUUUGUUUUGUUUUUUUUUUUGAGAUGGAGUCUCGCUCUGUUACCCAGGCUGGAGUGCACAAUCUCGGCUCACCACAACUUCUGCCUCCCAGGUUCAAGCGAUUCGCCUGCCUCAGCAGCCUGAGGAGCUGGGACUACAGGCACGCGACACCAUGCCAGGCUAAUUUCUGUAUUUUUAGUAGAGAUGGGGUUUCACUAUGUUGGCCAGGCUGGUCUCGAACUCCUGACCUCGUGAUCCGCCCAUCUUGGCCUCCCAAAGUGCUGGGAUUACAGGUGUGAGCCACUGUGCCUGGCCGGGGAACUUUGUUUUUAAACGUUUACAAACAAAAAGAUUUUCGAUGCAUAGGCCAGUCCUAAUGCAUCCCAUAAUGGGGACCAAGGCAAAAACACACACACACAACUACAAAAUAUUCCCUAGAAAAAUGCAAGAUCCUCCGAAAAUCAAGAUCUCUCUACCAAACAACAUACCAAGUCAUCACAGAAGAGGUGAAGAUGCCUCUCAAAAGAUAUGUGCCACAGAAAUAGAGCUUGAAAUACUGAACACGAUUUCUCGAAGAUCCUUCUCACCACCCCAAGACAAGCGCCCUGCUCUGGUGAGGGAAGAGGAGGCAAAGGAGAAGAGAGAAGUUUCCCUUCCAUCUGGAUCUGGGUGGAUGCCAACCCUGACGUGCAGGGCAGAGCACCAGGCUGCAGGAACUGGAUGCUAAUUGCAAUCGCUUUUUGCUUUGGAACAUUUGCCAGGAACUUGUGAACUGCUAAGGGGAUGACCAGGAAACUGGAUCCAUCUCUGUGGCUGGGGAUGUUUUGAAUGAUUCUCGCGGGCUCCCUGUCUGCUUGGUGACCCUGUUGGUCCUAUGCGUAUCUGCGCCAGGGAAUUAAACUAGCCAGUCUGACGUUCUCAAGCACCGCCCUGGACACCCCCACUGCCAGUUCAUGGUCUACAGCCACAGUGACCCCAGCUUUUCACACAGGUCCUGAAUGUUAUCUGGAAUGCAGACACAAGCGCUCUGAGCUACACUGCUUGGGGAAUAAUUCCACAUGGAAAGGUACAACGUGGCCAAGAUCUCCGCAGGGACACGGCCCUCAGAUGACAGACUCCAGGAAGAAAGAGCAUGAGACACUGGUCUCUGUUUAGGUUUGCCCAGAGCUCAUGGCCGUCUGCACUGCAGGCAACGCAUCCUCCUGCGGCUCACGGGGGGCCAGGAACCCCAGGGCUUCUGAUGGAGAGUUAUGCACCGUCCCCUCGGCUGGGUUGUACAUUCACUGAUUGUCAGAAGUUUCUGAUACUGCUGUGGGGGCCGGGGAAGGAGUCACCAACAGUCUGGUCCUGUCCUUUGGACUCUACACAUCAUAGCGGUUCAAACUGUACGAGUUUGGGUAGCUCUGCCGGCUGUAUUGGAAGUGGUCUGUUAAGAUGUUGUUGCGGCCGUACUGAUAGUCCCCGUGCUGGGGGAAGAGGAGGCCGUUGUGGGGCUUCUCCAGUGGGCUCCGGUGACGCUCCUUGCUGCUCAGGUCUGCUGUGGUGACGGGGAGGAGGUGCUUCCUGGCUUGCUGGUUUGCAUCGUACUUGGUCUGUGCCAGAAAGAGAGCAAUGAGACAGGACAUGCCCGG